UUUCCUUGUGAUUCUUUAUCUUAUCGGCUUGAUCUUGCCUCUUAUGUUGCCGGCGUCAAUUCUGGUCAAGCAUGGAAUUGAAAAUUAUCGUUGAUGUUGUCUGCUAAAGAACAAAUAGCAUGCGAAGAUCACCUGCUAGACCCUUUUGUUGAGAAUUUCGUACUGGAAAUCAAAGUCCACUUCGGGAUGCAGCAUAUUGAACUUAUGCACAUGUGGUAUGCUCUGGAUUUAGCUGUUCUUGCGGUUGGAGUGAUGAAGGACUAUGACUGGUGAAGUUUCAUGUUUUCCUUUGAAAUAUCAUGAUGGUGAAUGUCAUAAGUUCGCUUUUAAAUAUGGAUGAUCUUUCUCUCAAUUUGGCUCAUUGUGCCUCACCUUGGAGCUAUUCUGAAUCACAUUACACAUGUGCUUCGGAGCAAACUGAUCUGACACGUGAAGAGGGAAACAAAUUAGUUGUAUCUUUCACGAGGAACUACUUGAUAUAUUACAUCACUGUCUUCCUUCAACUAUAAGUUUAUAACUGAACUAGAUCAUGCUCUAAGCGAUGGCAUAAGUAGGGGUGGAAGACAAGCAUUGGAGUGGAGAGCGUCAAUUGCCAAACAUUUCAUUGACGAGUGGGAAUGGCAGUUGUCAAUUUUGCAGCGUCUUCUUCCGUUAUCUGAACGCCAGUGGCAGUGGAAGGAGGCAUUAACUGUAUUACGUCCUCACCAUCUAAGCUACUUAACCUUUAGGUCUUCUGACUGCAGUAAGUGCUUAGAGUGUUAAGUCUAUAUCGAGCUCCUUGGACACUGGAUUGCUGCAGGCACCUGAUGGUGACGGUGGAUCAAGAGACUACGUGAGAUUGAUAGUGAUACUGAGUCAAAAGUUGAUGACAUUGUUGGUAGCAGUAGUGUUUCAACAGCUUUUCCAGACGCCAGGGCAAGAUGGUGCAGCUACUGAACCUUGGGAUGAUUCUUCAAAAUCUGACGUUGCUGAGCUUGACAUUUCAGUUUUCCUUUCUUUUGAUUGGAAAAAUGAAGAACCGUAUGAGAAAGCUGUACAGCGACAUCUCAAAAGGGGAUGAUAGGGAUAACAAUUGUGACACACUGGUUUGUGCCUCUUUCGGAGUCAAAGAAAAAUAAAGAAGCUGCCUUACGGGUUUUAGAUUUUAUGUAUGGAUGGUUUGCGGAGCAGCGGAGCCACUCACAAGUGGUGAAUAUAUCCUCGCCGCAUGCUAGCCAUUCUCAGUAGACGGUUAUCGAAAUUUACUAGAGCUCAAUCGAAGUUGCUAGCUGGGUCCUUGGAUUUUUUUGGAAUAAAUUACUAUGCUAGUUACGAUGCUAGUUACUAUGCAAGCGAUGCACAUAAGAGUAGUUAUCCAAGUUAUACAACAGACUCUCGCGUUACACUUUCAUGUGAGUUACUGAAAACUUAAUCCAAAUUUAGA
Long non-coding RNA from Prunus avium (sweet cherry), 1423 nucleotides. RefSeq lists it as uncharacterized. NCBI's taxonomy places the organism in Eukaryota, Viridiplantae, Streptophyta, Magnoliopsida, Rosales, Rosaceae. The record is from RefSeq and is a predicted model, not a curated record.